Molecule: ribosomal RNA, 381 nt
Filed under: marine Metazoa environmental sample
Lineage: Eukaryota; Metazoa
Description: SSU rRNA
Rfam family: Eukaryotic small subunit ribosomal RNA
Source: RNAcentral
AGCUCCAAUAGCGUAUAUUAAAGUUGUUGCGGUUAAAAAGCUCGUAGUUGGAUUUCUGCCGAGGACGACCGGUCCGCCCUCUGGGUGAGCAUCUGGCUCGGCCUUGACAUCUUCUUGGUGAACGUAGCUGCACUUGACUGUGUGGUGCGGUACCCAGGACUUUUACUUUGAGGAAAUUAGAGUGUUUCAAGCAGGCAUACGCCUUGAAUACAUUAGCAUGGAAUAAUAAGAUAGGACCUUGGUUCUAUUUUGUUGGUUUCUAGAGCUGAGGUAAUGAUUAAUAGGGAUAGUUGGGGGCAUUCGUAUUUAACUGUCAGAGGUGAAAUUCUUGGAUUUAUGAAAGAUGAACUUAUGCGAAAGCAUUUAUCAAGGAUGUUUUCA